UUCUACAAUGACAUGUGGGCCCCGAUACAACUGAAAAUAUGCAAGACUGUAGACCUUCGAUUUCUAAGGAUGCAGAUCCAAAAGCAAUCCUCGACAAAAUUGGCUGUCUAUAGACUGUCCUGAGCCUGAAAUGGGUGAAAAAAAGAGGUGAGUUUUUAUAAACCCAAUGAGUAAGCAAAAGCUCAUCUAUAACAUCUAAAACCAAGUAAAUGGAGACAGUUAAAUUAUCCCAUCAUAAUAUAAUUCAUCACAUACCAAAACUCAUUUCAAUUCAUAUAAAACAAUUAUAUUUCAUCAAAAUAAUCAACAAGGCUUAUGAUUUUCUUAAAAACUUGGCUUGUGCCAAAACUCAUACUCGGAGACACCUUGGCUCAGGCAUCCAACCGAGUCCUCCAAGGAUGUUAAAACGACAUAUACCCAUAAAACAUGUUUUUACUUUUAAAAUAUAGCCAUUCCCUAACGUUGGCUGAGUUUCAUCCUGACGUGGUGGUUCGGCGUGAAGUGAACUCUAAAUAUACCUUAGGAGAUACCCUUCAUGCCUCUCGUACUAAGGUAAAAUAUAACGGGGUUUAUUAUGCCCCUCUAAUAGGUUGGUCCACAGAAACCCGCCCACUGCAGUAAGCUAAUCAAAUAACCCACCAAAUCAAUAAACAUUUCAACAACAUGACAUGGCUAAUAUAAUAUUACCCAGCCUGUGUCACGGCAAAAUAAAACAGUUUAUAUAUUCCACACAAAACACAAAUCCAGUCAUUCAUGCCAUCACAUUGUCAUAAGCUACCAAUUCAAACCAUAUAUCAAAACACGAGUAUAUAGUCUCCACUUACUCAAUUUCCAAAACCAAUAUUCAAUUUCAAAACAAGUUAUAAAACUCAUUUCAUUUAACCAACAAUUCAAUUUUUAAAACAUAAUAAUUUACCAUUUAAAUUCAUUAUUCUUUAAAACAUAAAAACAAGUAGAAACAACUUUAGAUAGUUAAGAUGAAAGUCUGUUACUCACAAUAGCAGGAGUUUAGAGUACUCCUAUUCUUGGUCCUCGGGUACAAUAUCUUUACCCUUAUCAGAGGGCUCAUCACCUAUACAUAAUACACGACACGUAAUUCAAUAUAUUUGUGUCAAACUGUUAUAAAACUAUUUCAGGCUCUAUAUGAAUACAUGAAAUUGAAUCAGAAUUGUCCGAAUAAUCACUUAAAGACGGUGUUUUACGUGGGUUCAAUUAUGAUCGGACUGAAUUUGUAUUCGACCUAACUCGAACUAUACACUGUUAAAUCAACCAAAACAUCCGAUUCAACUCCAAAUAUAUUCAUUACACUUCUAAUACUCCAAUUACACCUAAGUACCUCAAUAAGAUUAAUUAUGACCUAAUUCACCGUAAUGGAAAUUCAUUCUGAUUUUGAUAUCCAAUACCAUAAAUCAUCAAUUACUAGCUAAAUAACUUGAAAUACAACAAAAUCCAUCAUCAAUAUGUCACCCACAAAAUUCGGCCAAAGUGGGUUGUUGAAGGGCAUGUGAUUUUCUUGCUUGUUUUUCAUGCCAAACAUCAUCAAACAACUAAAAACACUAAGAUAUCAUGAAAUCUAGCAAAAUCCACCAUCAAAAGCUCUCUCUCUAAGUUCGGCCAGCAUGUAAUCCUUCAUGGAAACUUGUGUUUUAGCCAUGGAGAAUGAAAAAGAAUGCAUAGGAAAGGUAGAUCACAAGCUAAAAUUAAAAAAUCUUACCUUUACUUGCUUGAUUCCUUGAAAUCCAAUAAUUUCUCUUGAAUUUUUCUUGCCUAGGGUUUGUUCUUCUCUUUUUCUCUUUGUUCCCUUGCUUGGCCGGCCAUAAGAGUGUGAAUAUGAAGGUUUCAAGUGAGUUUAUAUAGGCAAUUUGUCACGACUCGGAACUCCUAUCGGGCCCGUGACAACCACCGCGACGUCUCGAUAGGCACUCAUUACCCCGAAUGUCGAUGGAAACCCCGCAAGGCUUAGCAUCAGCUUUCGCAUCUCCCCGGUGAGCGACAGUUAUUAAAUCUUGCAUUUCAAGAAAUCAUAAGUAGUUUCCAAAUCAAAACAAUAAACUAUUAUUUUCUGGCUCACAGGGGCAUUUUCGUCAUUUUUCUUUGAUAAUACCGAAACUCGCCAAAAAUAUGGUGUAAAAGCUAAAUAUGUUCAUAUAUAUUUUAAAUAAGAUAACUAAAGUAUAAAAUUACUUUUACAAUGACACGUGGG
This 2203-nucleotide long non-coding RNA is filed under the name Theobroma cacao (cacao). RNAcentral describes it as "long non-coding RNA (TCAC_LNC006344)". The record is from RNAcentral. Lineage: Eukaryota; Viridiplantae; Streptophyta; Magnoliopsida; Malvales; Malvaceae.